GCCUAGCUGGCUCAGUCGAUAGAGCAUGUGACUCUUGAUCUCAGUGUUGUGAGUUCAAGCCCCAUGUUGGGUG
This is a transfer RNA of Felis catus (domestic cat), 73 nucleotides long. It matches the Rfam family "tRNA". Rfam says of the family: Transfer RNA (tRNA) molecules are approximately 80 nucleotides in length. Their secondary structure includes four short double-helical elements and three loops (D, anti-codon, and T loops). Further hydrogen bonds mediate the characteristic L-shaped molecular structure. tRNAs have two regions of fundamental functional importance: the anti-codon, which is responsible for specific mRNA codon recognition, and the 3' end, to which the tRNAs corresponding amino acid is attached (by aminoacyl-tRNA synthetases). tRNAs cope with the degeneracy of the genetic code in two manners: having more than one tRNA (with a specific anti-codon) for a particular amino acid; and 'wobble' base-pairing, i.e. permitting non-standard base-pairing at the 3rd anti-codon position. The record is from Rfam. NCBI's taxonomy places the organism in Eukaryota, Metazoa, Chordata, Mammalia, Carnivora, Felidae.